GGUUAAGCGACUAAGCGUACACGGUGGAUGCCCUGGCAGUCAGAGGCGAUGAAGGACGUGCUAAUCUGCGAAAAGCGUCGGUAAGGUGAUAUGAACCGUUAUAACCGGCGAUGUCCGAAUGGGGAAACCCAGUGCAAUUCGUUGCACUAUCGUUAACUGAAUACAUAGGUUAACGAGGCGAACCGGGGGAACUGAAACAUCUAAGUACCCCGAGGAAAAGAAAUCAACCGAGAUUCCCCCAGUAGCGGCGAGCGAACGGGGAGCAGCCCAGAGUCUGAAUCAGCUUGUGUGUUAGUGGAACGGUCUGGAAAGUCCGACGGUACAGGGUGAUAGUCCCGUACACCAAAAUGCACAGGUUGUGAACUCGAAGAGUAGGGCGGGACACGUGGUAUCCUGUCUGAAUAUGGGGGGACCAUCCUCCAAGGCUAAAUACUCCUGACUGACCGAUAGUGAACCAGUACCGUGAGGGAAAGGCGAAAAGAACCCCGGCGAGGGGAGUGAAAAAGAACCUGAAACCGUGUACGUACAAGCAGUGGGAGCACCUUCGGGUGUGACUGCGUACCUUUUGUAUAAUGGGUCAGCGACUUAUAUUCUGUAGCAAGGUUAACCGUAUAGGGGAGCCGCAGGGAAACCGAGUCUUAACUGGGCGUUAAGUUGCAGGGUAUAGACCCGAAACCCGGUGAUCUAGCCAUGGGCAGGUUGAAGGUUGGGUAACACUAACUGGAGGACCGAACCGACUAAUGUUGAAAAAUUAGCGGAUGACUUGUGGCUGGGGGUGAAAGGCCAAUCAAACCGGGAGAUAGCUGGUUCUCCCCGAAAGCUAUUUAGGUAGCGCCUCGUGAAUUCAUCUUCGGGGGUAGAGCACUGUUUCGGCUAGGGGGUCAUCCCGACUUACCAACCCGAUGCAAACUACGAAUACCGAAGAAUGUUAUCACGGGAGACACACGGCGGGUGCUAACGUCCGUCGUGAAGAGGGAAACAACCCAGACCGCCAGCUAAGGUCCCAAAGUCAUGGUUAAGUGGGAAACGAUGUGGGAAGGCACAGACAGCCAGGAUGUUGGCUUAGAAGCAGCCAUCAUUUAAAGAAAGCGUAAUAGCUCACUGGUCGAGUCGGCCUGCGCGGAAGAUGUAACGGGGCUAAACCAUGCACCGAAGCUGCGGCAGCGACACUAUGUGUUGUUGGGUAGGGGAGCGUUCUGUAAGCCUGCGAAGGUGACCUGUGAGGGUUGCUGGAGGUAUCAGAAGUGCGAAUGCUGACAUAAGUAACGAUAAAGCGGGUGAAAAGCCCGCUCGCCGGAAGACCAAGGGUUCCUGUCCAACGUUAAUCGGGGCAGGGUGAGUCGACCCCUAAGGCGAGGCCGAAAGGCGUAGUCGAUGGGAAACAGGUUAAUAUUCCUGUACUUGGUGUUACUGCGAAGGGGGGACGGAGAAGGCUAUGUUAGCCGGGCGACGGUUGUCCCGGUUUAAGCAUGUAGGCUGGUUGUCCAGGCAAAUCCGGAUAAUCAAGGCUGAGGUGUGAUGACGAGGCACUACGGUGCUGAAGUAACAAAUGCCCUGCUUCCAGGAAAAGCCUCUAAGCAUCAGGUAACAUCAAAUCGUACCCCAAACCGACACAGGUGGUCAGGUAGAGAAUACCAAGGCGCUUGAGAGAACUCGGGUGAAGGAACUAGGCAAAAUGGUGCCGUAACUUCGGGAGAAGGCACGCUGGUGUGUAGGUGAAGUCCCUGCGGAUGGAGCUGAGACCAGUCGAAGAUACCAGCUGGCUGCAACUGUUUAUUAAAAACACAGCACUGUGCAAACACGAAAGUGGACGUAUACGGUGUGACGCCUGCCCGGUGCCGGAAGGUUAAUUGAUGGGGUUAUCCGUAAGGAGAAGCUCUUGAUCGAAGCCCCGGUAAACGGCGGCCGUAACUAUAACGGUCCUAAGGUAGCGAAAUUCCUUGUCGGGUAAGUUCCGACCUGCACGAAUGGCGUAAUGAUGGCCAGGCUGUCUCCACCCGAGACUCAGUGAAAUUGAACUCGCUGUGAAGAUGCAGUGUACCCGCGGCAAGACGGAAAGACCCCGUGAACCUUUACUAUAGCUUGACACUGAACAUUGAGCCUUGAUGUGUAGGAUAGGUGGGAGGCUUUGAAGCGUGGACGCCAGUCUGCGUGGAGCCAACCUUGAAAUACCACCCUUUAAUGUUUGAUGUUCUAACGUUGGCCCCUGACCGGGGUUGCGGACAGUGUCUGGUGGGUAGUUUGACUGGGGCGGUCUCCUCCCAAAGCGUAACGGAGGAGCACGAAGGUUAGCUAAUCCUGGUCGGACAUCAGGAGGUUAGUGCAAUGGCAUAAGCUAGCUUGACUGCGAGCGUGACGGCGCGAGCAGGUGCGAAAGCAGGUCAUAGUGAUCCGGUGGUUCUGAAUGGAAGGGCCAUCGCUCAACGGAUAAAAGGUACUCCGGGGAUAACAGGCUGAUACCGCCCAAGAGUUCAUAUCGACGGCGGUGUUUGGCACCUCGAUGUCGGCUCAUCACAUCCUGGGGCUGAAGUAGGUCCCAAGGGUAUGGCUGUUCGCCAUUUAAAGUGGUACGCGAGCUGGGUUUAGAACGUCGUGAGACAGUUCGGUCCCUAUCUGCCGUGGGCGCUGGAGAAUUGAGGGGGGCUGCUCCUAGUACGAGAGGACCGGAGUGGACGCAUCACUGGUGUUCGGGUUGUCAUGCCAAUGGCACUGCCCGGUAGCUAAAUGCGGAAGAGAUAAGUGCUGAAAGCAUCUAAGCACGAAACUUGCCCCGAGAUGAGUUCUCCCUGAGACUUUAAGUCUCCUGAAGGAACGUU
RNAcentral lists this ribosomal RNA (2816 nucleotides) under Klebsiella pneumoniae. RNAcentral describes it as "partial 23S ribosomal RNA". It matches the Rfam family "Bacterial large subunit ribosomal RNA". RNAcentral also lists the same sequence under 1 other name. Lineage: Bacteria; Pseudomonadati; Pseudomonadota; Gammaproteobacteria; Enterobacterales; Enterobacteriaceae. The record is from RNAcentral.